Molecule: ribosomal RNA, 481 nt
Filed under: uncultured bacterium
Lineage: Bacteria
Description: partial 16S ribosomal RNA
Rfam family: Bacterial small subunit ribosomal RNA
Source: RNAcentral
GACGAACGCUGGCGGCGUGCUUAACACAUGCAAGUCGAACGAUGAAGAAGAGAAACGCGAACUUCGGUUCAAAUUUCACUUCGGAUUAGUGGCAGACGGGUGAGUAACGCGUGAGCAACCUACCUCUUACAAAGGGAUAGCCUCGGGAAACCGUGAUUAAUACCAUAUGACACAUUCAUAAGGCAUCUUAAGAAUGUUAAAGCUACGGCGGUAAGAGAUGGGCUCGCGUCCCAUUAGCUAGUUGGUGAGGUAACGGCCCACCAAGGCGACGAUGGGUAACCGGCCUGAGAGGGUGAACGGUCACAUUGGAACUGAGACACGGUCCAAACUCCUACGGGAGGCAGCAGUGGGAAUAUUGCACAAUGGAGGGAACUCUGAUGCAGCGACGCCGCGUGAGCGAUGAAGGAAUUCGUUUCGUAAAGCUCUGUUCUAUGGGAAGAAAAGGACUGUACCAUAGGAGAAAGCCCCGGCUAAAUACGUG